Long non-coding RNA from Gossypium arboreum, 587 nucleotides. RefSeq lists it as uncharacterized. The transcript is spliced from 3 exons. The record is from RefSeq and is a predicted model, not a curated record. NCBI's taxonomy places the organism in Eukaryota, Viridiplantae, Streptophyta, Magnoliopsida, Malvales, Malvaceae.
UUUUGUAAAUUAAUUAAAAUAAUCUAAUAAGACAAAAAUGAUAAAAGCUAUCAUUUUUUUUCAUUCUUUCUUCUUCAACCGUGGGAAAGAACUGAAAAUGGCAGCCAUGGAUGAGCUCCAUUCAGCCAAGCUUCUAUGGCUUAUAUUGAUGAUGAAAAUUGAGAUUUGGACCUAGAACGGAAAGAAAUCGAUUUAUGAACGAGUAUGUCUUUUCACCUUUGUGGUAUCGAGAGUUUCCAAGUUAGCUCGGGUGGGAGGCCGUCAGAGAUAUUAUCACCCUAUCGAGUUAACGUUAUCGGAGUAAGUAAACUCAAGUGAUUCGAGUCUAUGGCAUGUAUAGGGUUUUAAUGUGAGUAUGUAAUAUUAUGAUUUAGCCAAAGGCAUUGGCUUGUUAUUAAGGUAGUAUUAGUCAUGUAAAUUGGCUUAUGUCGGCUAAUGACAUUAUGGGCCCAUAUGAUUAUUCUUAUGCAUGUAUGUUAUUAUCUCUUGUGAUGUGGCUUACAACAUGUAUGCCUAGAGAUUGAAUUGAGAUUCAUUGAUGAGCUAGUAACUAAUGCAGGAUUAAGUGAUUGGUAAAUAGUUAAUAA